Molecule: ribosomal RNA, 246 nt
Filed under: uncultured bacterium
Lineage: Bacteria
Description: partial small subunit ribosomal RNA
Rfam family: Bacterial small subunit ribosomal RNA
Source: RNAcentral
AGAAUCAACGCUGGCGGCGUGCCUAACACAUGCAAGUCGAACGAGAAAGUGGAGCAAUCCAUGAGUAAAGUGGCGCACGGGUGAGUAACACGUGACUAACCUACCCUUGAGUGGGGGAUAACCUCGGGAAACCGGGGCUAAUACCGCAUAAUAUCGAGAGAUCAAAGGAGCAAUUCGCUUAAGGAGGGGGUCGCGGCUGAUUAGCUAGUUGGUGAGGUAAUGGCUCACCAAGGCUAUGAUCAGUAU